CCCGGGCCUUGUACACACCGCCCGUCACACCAUGGGAGUUGGUUGCACCAGAAGUAGUUAGCCUAACCGCAAGGGGGCGAUUACCACGGUGUGGUCAAUGACCGGGGUG
This 109-nucleotide ribosomal RNA is filed under the name uncultured bacterium. Its description in RNAcentral is "partial 16S ribosomal RNA". It matches the Rfam family "Bacterial small subunit ribosomal RNA", at positions 1373 to 1482 of the family's 1533-position model. The record is from RNAcentral.